This 71-nucleotide transfer RNA is filed under the name Magnetococcales bacterium. RNAcentral's name for it is "tRNA-Ala". It matches the Rfam family "tRNA". Rfam says of the family: Transfer RNA (tRNA) molecules are approximately 80 nucleotides in length. Lineage: Bacteria; Pseudomonadati; Pseudomonadota; Magnetococcia; Magnetococcales. The record is from RNAcentral.
CGGCUUUUAGUUCAACGGUAGAACACAAACUUUGCAAGUCUGAGAUAACAGUUCGAUUCUGUUAUAGUCCA